Molecule: ribosomal RNA, 253 nt
Filed under: uncultured bacterium
Lineage: Bacteria
Description: partial 16S ribosomal RNA
Rfam family: Bacterial small subunit ribosomal RNA
Source: RNAcentral
UACGUAGGGGGCAAGCGUUGUCCGGAUUUAUUGGGCGUAAAGAGCGUGUAGGCGGUUAGGUAGGUCCGUUGUGAAAACUCGAGGCUCAACCUCGAGAUGUCAUCGGAAACCAUCUGGCUAGAGUCCGGAAGAGGAGAGUGGAAUUCCUGGUGUAGCGGUGAAAUGCGCAGAUAUCAGGAAGAACACCAAUGGCGAAAGCAGCUCUCUGGGACGGUACUGACGCUGAGACGCGAAAGCGUGGGGAGCGAACAGG